UACGGGGGGGGCAAGCGUUGUUCGGAAUUACUGGGCGUAAAGGGUUUGUAGGUGGCUUGCUAAGUCAGACGUGAAAUCCCUCAGCUUAACUGGGGAACUGCGUCUGAGACUGGUGAGCUUGAGUGCAGGAGAGGAACGCGGAAUUCCAGGUGUAGCGGUGAAAUGCGUAGAUAUCAGGAGGAACACCGGUGGCGAAGGCGGCUUUCUGGACAGAAACUGACGCUGAUGCGCGAAAGCUAGGGGAGCAAACAGG
Molecule: ribosomal RNA, 253 nt
Filed under: uncultured bacterium
Lineage: Bacteria
Description: partial 16S ribosomal RNA
Rfam family: Bacterial small subunit ribosomal RNA
Source: RNAcentral